UUUAUUUAUUUGUGAAUUUCAUUUCUUUUUGUGAAAUUUGUAAAAAUAUUUGUGAAACUCUUUAUAUUUAUUUGUGGAUCAUAGUGUAUUUAUUCAGAAUAAUGAAACAAUUCUGACCCCAUAAUUAACGCCUUUGCAGCCCCGCUCACUUUGGAUUACGGCAUCAUCGUUUUCACCAAGUUUUUUCUAUUUUCUUGGAUUUAACUUCAACCACAGGUCGUCUUCAGUUACUUCGGUAAGAAAACGAUCUAAAUUGGUUUAUUUAUGAACAGUGUUGUGUUGCAGACAGUGAAGGCGCAAAGUUAUAUUAGCUUUAGCUCAAGCACUAACGUUAGCCACCUCAGACUCAAAAACAGCCUUCUAACGCCAGUAGCGGUUGUUUCAGAGACGUCUGGAUUAAUGUAGGCCGUUUUAUAAGUGUAACUCCAUUUUAAGGCUUUAGGUAAAGGCAGCCAGGAUUUUCCAGCUUUUUUUUUAACCUCACAGCUGUGUUUUAUGGAAUAUGUGUUCUUACUGCAUAUGUGGAGAAUCGGUUCAGUCCGUGAAAGCUUAUGUUUUUCAUUUCAUUGUCAGACUGAAUGCCUUAAUUUCAUUGGACCAGUGACCAAACUCUUUGUGUGUCUUAACAGAUAUGGCUGAAUCACAGCUGCUAAAGAACAUAGGGGAUGCGAUAGCAGGAGUGCUUCCGGACCUUCCUGAUCAACUUGUUAAGUCCGUUGAAGAUACUUUGAAAACACUUGGUGCGGCAACCACAGAUGAUUUAAAGUACAUCACAGAAAACGAUUUGCUGCCAGUGUUAAAGCCCAUACAAGCCUGAGGACUGGUUGCUGCCUGGACCCAAAAUAUCUCUGGGACUUCAACACCAAAAUCUGUGCAUUCAUCUCCAGUGGUUGUCUUUCACUCUGCACUCUCAAUUUCUUCUUCACCAGCAUCAUCCACCUCUACAUCAUCUUCAGGAAUCUGUACACCAUUAAUACCAAACUGCUUAGAGCGAUUUGAAAUACCAUGGCAGAGGCUCCCUGAAGAGUUAAUACAGAACUUGGAAAGACCUAGUGCAAGACAACGAAAAGAAAUGGUAAGGAUCAUGGUCUCUGCAAUGAUGAAGAUUUGCAAGAAACUAACCAAACACAACAUAACAGAGAUAGCAAAAAUGAUGGUGGCCAGGUAUGCAAAGUCUCUGCAAGAUGUGAUUGAUGGCGGCGUUAUUGGACCAGGAUAUCAUUCUCUGGUGAAGCAACUUCAGGCAAGAGUUGAAAAUGUCAAGCGACCUGACACACCAAAGGUAAUAAAGCGCAAAGCAGCAUCAGAUGAUGAUGACAGACAAAAUACCUACCGAACAAAAAGCAAGUGUUCAAGACACCUAUGGAUGUAUUAGCUGGGAGCCAAAGCACUCUCAGAGACUGUGGAGAGUCUGCUUGAAAAAAAAAAGAAGAAAUGAAGUUGAUGUUUAAGAAGAAAUACAGUACAGAUGUUGUGAAAGAACUAGUCAAAUGCACCUAUUACACCCAGCAUAAAGACAUCAACAAAGGGACAAGCAUCCAGAAACUAUGCCAGGAAUGACCCUUUCUCUUCAAUGAAGUUGGUAUGCCAGCACAUUUCCAAGAGCUGACUGGUGUGAAUCUGAUGGAAACCUUCUUGCCAAUGUAGACAAAAAAGGGGCAUGUCUGUUAAAGUUCCUGACAUAUGUUGAUGCACAAAAAAGCAAACGAGUCCAGAACGCUCUUCUCAAGCUUCAGACUGAAAGAAGUCAGUCCAGUGGUUGCUCCCAAAAAGUCAUUGAGAUGCUGCUUCUUUUACUGGUUCAUUUUGAUGAGAAGAAAGAGCUUCUGUUCCACUGUGUUGAGACGACAAGCAAUGCAGAGGAUGUUCAGAUGGAGAAAGUGCCACCAACACCCUUCAUUAUUGUUUGUGGUUCCUCCUGCUUCGCUGCUGAGACAUUCAUGUUGAGCAUCGACAAGAAGAUUAUCAAUGACCACAUCACAACCUUCACCUCCAACAGUAAAAUUUGUUUUUAUGGACACCUUUUUUGGAUUUAUCAAACGUAUCAAUUUGAAAUCCCAUCUCCGGUUGUUAAUUUUCUCAAUCUUUCUCUCACUCUUUUUUUUCCCCCCAUAAAGGUGUUUCUUUUCCAUAAAUCCUGAGAGAGGCACCAAGGUUGAAUCCAAGAAGAAAAAAGUGUUGUCAGUCAAUCCCAGAGUCCUCACUCUCAUCUCAGACAUUGCUGACCAUGAGUGGAUCUACUGUAGUACUACCCCUCUUGUUGUGGACAAUGUGAUAAAGGGCUGUUACAAACUCUACAGAUGUUUUUGUUGUUGAAACAAUUGUUACACUUCUGAAUGUCAGUGAAAAGUUUUUAACAAUUUGGAGUUUUACUAAACAAGACUUGUUAAAGUACCUGUUAACUUUUUUGCUUGUUAGUUCAAGAGUUUCUUAGAUUAUAAUUUUCCUACAGUAAUUGUGCAUUCUAAAGAUGUAAAAAGGUGGCUGCAUGUACAUCAUAGCAUUUUGUAAAUCAAAAACGUAUGUAAAGUUCCCAGAAAAGUGCAAAUUAUUUGUUUCAAUUACAUGAUGCAGUUUGAAGAUGUACAGUUUCUGCUUUACUGCACAGUUCUGUGUGUAAAAUAAAGUAAUUUAUUUCUUGAAUUCAGAUUUUAUUGAAAUAGAUAUAUUUUAUUUUCCUAUAACUGCAUUUGCAUAUUUUAAAAUAUGGAACAUUUAAUCUUUUUAACAUUUUUGUAGUUCAAACAGCACCAAUAACACAAAGUUCUUAAUGUAAUGGUGUUUGCAAAUUGUCUGCCACAGUUGAUGUAAAAUAUAAUGUAUGCUUAUAACACUGGUUUUGCACAAUUUGAAGAGAACUCAUUGAGACAGUCCUUGGUGAUUUGAGUGAAAUGUUUUCACAACUUCAUAGAUAGUAAAUAAAAUACAUUAUUUGAAAUAUAAGGUGGACAUUUGUCUUGCAUUUAUAAAUUUUAAUAAAUUAACGCAUUGUGUAUUAAGCUUACAGAAUAGACUGAUUUUAAAGAACUCUUCCUGAAAAAGGUAGCUACUAGGCAGGCUUAAUACUUUACUGGGACUUAAAUUAUUUGUAUGCAUGAAAUGAGGUAGUAGUUGAUCAUUCAUUGUGAAAUAACCAGCAAAAGGUGAUCAUAUUUCAUGUAUUCCAUCAGGUAAACCCUUUCAUAGCUCAUAAGUUUUCCAUGUCAUCUCUAAAUGAUUCUUAAUCAUAAUUAUUAAAAAGGGGAAACUGCAGAGCAUUUUUUUUUAUAAAUUCUGGGAAUUUUUACAGAAUAAAACUGUAUUGUAUUUUGUCAUUUUUGGUUAAUUUUACAGGGAAUAGAUGUGUUUUUUUUGUGGCACAAACUUAAUUUUAUAGGUAGUUUUCUUGUUCAUUUUAAGGAAAAACAUUGUUUUUUCCUAAGGUUAAAACUUUUUCUUUUACAGUAAAACACUGACUCCAGUAACAGAUUUAACCGUAGAAACAACAAUGACAAUGCCUGCCAACCGUAAAAGAAAAUAAUGUUUUAGCCGUCAUUUUACGGUGGAAUUCUGGCAACCCCAGCUGCCAGCGUUUUACCGUAGAAUCUACGUUUUUUUACAGUGUAUGUACAGUAUAAUGGCUGCAGACAUUUGGGUUAGUUGUCCAAAAUUAAAACUAAAAGAAAAAAGAAAAUUGUUUAAAAAAAUAGAUUCCAAACUAGAUUCGGAAAUAAUAUGUACCUGUUACGGGUCGCCGUGCGACCACUAGGGGAUGACCCAGAAACAAGCUUCAUUUCAUCUUUAAAGCACCAAAUCCUCUAAAAACACGAAAAAACCUAUUUACCUAGUAAAGUUUAUACUCUCAAUAUUUUUUUAAGCCCA
This is a long non-coding RNA of Tachysurus fulvidraco (yellow catfish), 3861 nucleotides long. RefSeq lists it as uncharacterized. The record is from RefSeq and is a predicted model, not a curated record. The transcript has 3 exons. Lineage: Eukaryota; Metazoa; Chordata; Actinopteri; Siluriformes; Bagridae.